RNAcentral lists this ribosomal RNA (60 nucleotides) under Streptobotrys caulophylli. RNAcentral's name for it is "partial 28S ribosomal RNA". The record is from RNAcentral. Lineage: Eukaryota; Fungi; Ascomycota; Leotiomycetes; Helotiales; Sclerotiniaceae.
UUGACCUCGGAUCAGGUAGGGAUACCCGCUGAACUUAAGCAUAUCAAAAGCCGGAGGAAA